CGGGUGAGUAACACGUGGAUAACCUACCUAUAAGACUGGGAUAACUUCGGGAAACCGGAGCUAAUACCGGAUAAUAUUUUGAACCGCAUGGUUCAAAAGUGAAAGACGGUCUUGCUGUCACUUAUAGAUGGAUCCGCGCUGCAUUAGCUAGUUGGUAAGGUAACGGCUUACCAAGGCAACGAUGCAUAGCCGACCUGAGAGGGUGAUCGGCCACACUGGAACUGAGACACGGUCCAG
This 237-nucleotide ribosomal RNA is filed under the name uncultured Staphylococcus sp. RNAcentral describes it as "partial 16S ribosomal RNA". It matches the Rfam family "Bacterial small subunit ribosomal RNA", at positions 103 to 334 of the family's 1533-position model. The record is from RNAcentral. Lineage: Bacteria; Bacillati; Bacillota; Bacilli; Caryophanales; Staphylococcaceae.